Suncus etruscus (white-toothed pygmy shrew) is the source of this 163-nucleotide small nuclear RNA. RefSeq annotates it as U1 spliceosomal RNA. Lineage: Eukaryota; Metazoa; Chordata; Mammalia; Eulipotyphla; Soricidae. The transcript has a single exon. The record is from RefSeq and is a predicted model, not a curated record.
AUACUUACCUCGCAGGGGCGAUUACAUGAUCAUGAAGGUGGUUUCCCAGGGUGAGACUCGCCCAUUGCACCCCGGUCGUGCUGACCCCUGCGAUUUUCCCAAAUGUGGGAAACUCGACUGCAUAAUUUAUGGUAGUGGGGGACUGCGUUUGCGCUCUCCCCAC